RNAcentral lists this ribosomal RNA (686 nucleotides) under Dermacoccus sp. RNAcentral's name for it is "bacterial SSU rRNA". It matches the Rfam family "Bacterial small subunit ribosomal RNA", at positions 61 to 756 of the family's 1533-position model. The record is from RNAcentral. Lineage: Bacteria; Bacillati; Actinomycetota; Actinomycetes; Micrococcales; Dermacoccaceae.
GUCGAACGAUGAUGCUCCAGCUUGCUGGGGUGGAUUAGUGGCGAACGGGUGAGUAACACGUGAGUAACCUGCCCUUCACUUUGGGAUAAGCCUUGGAAACGGGGUCUAAUACCGGGUAUACACAUUCUGCCGCAUGGUGGUGUGUGGAAAGCUUUUGUGGUGAGGGAUGGACUCGCGGCCUAUCAGCUUGAUGGUGGGGUAGUGGCCUACCAUGGCUUUGACGGGUAGCCGGCCUGAGAGGGUGACCGGCCACACUGGGACUGAGACACGGCCCAGACUCCUACGGGAGGCAGCAGUGGGGAAUAUUGCACAAUGGGCGGAAGCCUGAUGCAGCGACGCCGCGUGGGGGAUGAAGGCUUUCGGGUCGUAAACUCCUUUCAGCAGGGACGAAGCUUUUUGUGACGGUACCUGCAGAAGAAGCACCGGCUAACUACGUGCCAGCAGCCGCGGUAAUACGUAGGGUGCGAGCGUUGUCCGGAAUUAUUGGGCGUAAAGAGCUUGUAGGCGGUUUGUCGCGUCUGCCGUGAAAGCCCAGGGCUUAACCCUGGGUCUGCGGUGGGUACGGGCAGACUAGAGUGUGGUAGGGGAGACUGGAAUUCCUGGUGUAGCGGUGAAAUGCACAGAUAUCAGGAGGAACACCGAUGGCGAAGGCAGGUCUCUGGGCCACUACUGACGCUGAUAAGCGA